This 230-nucleotide ribosomal RNA is filed under the name uncultured bacterium. Its description in RNAcentral is "partial 16S ribosomal RNA". It matches the Rfam family "Bacterial small subunit ribosomal RNA", at positions 111 to 334 of the family's 1533-position model. The record is from RNAcentral.
UAACACGUGGGUAACCUGCCCAUCAGAGGGGGAUAACAUUCGGAAACGGAUGCUAAAACCGCAUAGGUCCUUUAACCGCAUGGUUGAAGGAGGAAAAGAGGCGCAAGCUUCUGCUGAUGGAUGGACCCGCGGUGCAUUAGCUAGUUGGUGAGGUAACGGCUCACCAAGGCCGUGAUGCAUAGCCGACCUGAGAGGGUGAUCGGCCACAUUGGGACUGAGACACGGCCCAA